Molecule: ribosomal RNA, 401 nt
Filed under: uncultured Lactobacillus sp.
Lineage: Bacteria; Bacillati; Bacillota; Bacilli; Lactobacillales; Lactobacillaceae
Description: bacterial SSU rRNA
Rfam family: Bacterial small subunit ribosomal RNA
Source: RNAcentral
UACCAUUUGGAAACAGAUGCUAAUACCGGAUAAAAAGCUACUUUCGCAUGAAAGAAGUUUAAAAAAGGACGGCGUAAAGCUGUCGCUAAAGGAUGGACCUGCGAUGCAUUAGCUAGUUGGUAAGGUAACGGCUUACCAAGGCGAUGAUGCAUAGCCGAGUUGAGAGACUGAUCGGCCACAUUGGGACUGAGACACGGCCCAAACUCCUACGGGAGGCAGCAGUAGGGAAUCUUCCACAAUGGACGCAAGUCUGAUGGAGCAACGCCGCGUGAGUGAAGAAGGUUUUCGGAUCGUAAAGCUCUGUUGUUGGUGAAGAAGGAUAGAGGUAGUAACUGGCCUUUAUUUGACGGUAAUCAACCAGAAAGUCACGGGCUAACUACGUGCCAGCAGCCGCGGUAAAU